GCGGAAGUAGCUCAGUUGGUAGAGCACAACCUUGCCAAGGUUGGGGUCAGAGUUCGGAGUCUCGUUUUCCGCU
This 73-nucleotide transfer RNA is filed under the name Saprospiraceae bacterium. RNAcentral describes it as "tRNA-Gly". It matches the Rfam family "tRNA". Rfam says of the family: Transfer RNA (tRNA) molecules are approximately 80 nucleotides in length. Their secondary structure includes four short double-helical elements and three loops (D, anti-codon, and T loops). The record is from RNAcentral. Lineage: Bacteria; Pseudomonadati; Bacteroidota; Saprospiria; Saprospirales; Saprospiraceae.